GAUCAGUGGCGAACGGGUGAGUAACACGUGAGCAACCUGCCCCUGACUCUGGGAUAAGCGCUGGAAACGGCGUCUAAUACUGGAUAUGAGCCACGAUCGCAUGGUCUGUGGUUGGAAAGAUUUUUCGGUUGGGGAUGGGCUCGCGGCCUAUCAGCUUGUUGGUGAGGUAAUGGCUCACCAAGGCGUCGACGGGUAGCCGGCCUGAGAGGGUGACCGGCCACACUGGGACUGAGACACGGCCCAGACUCCUACGGGAGGCAGCAGUGGGGAAUAUUGCACAAUGGGCGCAAGCCUGAUGCAGCAACGCCGCGUGAGGGAUGACGGCCUUCGGGUUGUAAACCUCUUUUAGCAGGGAAGAAGCUUUCGGGUGACGGUACCUGC
RNAcentral lists this ribosomal RNA (381 nucleotides) under Microbacterium sp. SA7Y. RNAcentral describes it as "bacterial SSU rRNA". It matches the Rfam family "Bacterial small subunit ribosomal RNA", at positions 90 to 482 of the family's 1533-position model. Lineage: Bacteria; Bacillati; Actinomycetota; Actinomycetes; Micrococcales; Microbacteriaceae. The record is from RNAcentral.